Molecule: ribosomal RNA, 653 nt
Filed under: uncultured Lachnospiraceae bacterium
Lineage: Bacteria; Bacillati; Bacillota; Clostridia; Lachnospirales; Lachnospiraceae
Description: bacterial SSU rRNA
Rfam family: Bacterial small subunit ribosomal RNA
Source: RNAcentral
GAUUCUUUCGGGAAGAAGAGUGAUUUGACUGAGCGGCGGACGGGUGAGUAACGCGUGGGUAACCUGCCUCAUACAGGGGGAUAACAGUUAGAAAUGACUGCUAAUACCGCAUAAGCGCACAGGAUUGCAUGAUCCAGUGUGAAAAACUCCGGUGGUAUGAGAUGGACCCGCGUCUGAUUAGGUAGUUGGCGGGGUAACGGCCCACCAAGCCGACGAUCAGUAGCCGACCUGAGAGGGUGACCGGCCACAUUGGGACUGAGACACGGCCCAAACUCCUACGGGAGGCAGCAGUGGGGAAUAUUGCACAAUGGGGGAAACCCUGAUGCAGCGACGCCGCGUGAGCGAAGAAGUAUUUCGGUAUGUAAAGCUCUAUCAGCAGGGAAGAAACUGACGGUACCUGACUAAGAAGCACCGGCUAAAUACGUGCCAGCAGCCGCGGUAAUACGUAUGGUGCAAGCGUUAUCCGGAUUUACUGGGUGUAAAGGGAGCGUAGACGGAUGUGCAAGUCUGGAGUGAAAACCCGGGGCUCAACCCCGGGACUGCUUUGGAAACUGUGUAUCUAGAGUGCUGGAGAGGCAAGUGGAAUUCCUAGUGUAGCGGUGAAAUGCGUAGAUAUUAGGAGGAACACCAGUGGCGAAGGCGGCUUGCUGGAC